RNAcentral lists this ribosomal RNA (253 nucleotides) under uncultured bacterium. RNAcentral's name for it is "partial 16S ribosomal RNA". It matches the Rfam family "Bacterial small subunit ribosomal RNA", at positions 524 to 776 of the family's 1533-position model. The record is from RNAcentral.
UACGAAGGGGGCUAGCGUUGCUCGGAAUCACUGGGCGUAAAGGGUGCGUAGGCGGGGCUUUAAGUCAGGGGUGAAAUCCUGGAGCUCAACUCCAGAACUGCCUUUGAUACUGAAGAUCUUGAGUUCGGGAGAGGUGAGUGGAACUGCGAGUGUAGAGGUGAAAUUCGUAGAUAUCCGCAAGAACACCAGUGGCGAAGGCGGCUCACUGGCCCGAUACUGACGCUGAGGCACGAAAGCGUGGGGAGCAAACAGG